This 253-nucleotide ribosomal RNA is filed under the name uncultured bacterium. RNAcentral's name for it is "partial 16S ribosomal RNA". It matches the Rfam family "Bacterial small subunit ribosomal RNA", at positions 524 to 776 of the family's 1533-position model. The record is from RNAcentral.
UACGUAGGGGGCUAGCGUUGUCCGGAAUCAUUGGGCGUAAAGAGCGUGUAGGCGGCCCGGUAAGUCCGCUGUGAAAGUCGGGGGCUCAACCCUCGAAUGCCGGUGGAUACUGUCGGGCUAGAGUACAGAAGGGGCAACUGGAAUUCUCGGUGUAGCGGUGAAAUGCGUAGAUAUCGAGAGGAACACCUGCGGCGAAGGCGGGUUGCUGGGCUGAUACUGACGCUGAGGCGCGAAAGCCAGGGGAGCGAACGGG